RNAcentral lists this long non-coding RNA (251 nucleotides) under Brassica napus (rape). Its description in RNAcentral is "long non-coding RNA (BNAP_LNC018278)". The record is from RNAcentral. Lineage: Eukaryota; Viridiplantae; Streptophyta; Magnoliopsida; Brassicales; Brassicaceae.
AAGUUCAUGCCGAAAUAUUAAUAACUGGAUAGAAAUGUAUUCUGCAAAAACAAAACAAAGUAGAUUAGGAUUGCAUAUGGUCGUUAUAACUGUGAUUUGAGCUGCCAUAUUAAAAUUGAUGCAUGAUUUUUAAUGAGUUAGUGUUAGAAUGAUAUUGAUGUACAAAACCCUUCUAUUAACGAUGUGCUGAUGGGUCCAUGCUGAAUGAAAGAAAAAACUACACGUACAAAAUAUUAAAUGAAAACAUUAGG